Molecule: non-coding RNA, 321 nt
Organism: Notechis scutatus (mainland tiger snake)
Lineage: Eukaryota; Metazoa; Chordata; Lepidosauria; Squamata; Elapidae
Source: RefSeq, a predicted model, not a curated record
AUGUCCACAUAAAUCUAUGCAUCCCUUUCAUCUUGAGUGAGCAAAACGAUGAUGUUAUCCAUUCAGUCAAGUCCUGCUCUUGGCAAUUCUAUAGCCAAGUCUCUCCACAUCUUCUGAUCUUGCACUAGCAAAACAAUAUAUCAACAUAAAUUGCACUGCCCCAGGCCUAAUCUUUGCCGUGUCUCCACAGUGAGAACCAAUUUGGUCUAGUGGUUAAGAACCAGGCUAGUAACUGGGAGAGCAUGAAUCAAUUGUGCAGUGGUUAGAAUGCUGUACUGCAGGCCACUUUUGCUGACUAUCGGCUACCUGUAAUUUGGCAGU